This is an RNA transcript of Ziziphus jujuba (common jujube), 2188 nucleotides long. It is a transcript of the gene named heterogeneous nuclear ribonucleoprotein 1, with no coding region annotated. The transcript is spliced from 3 exons. Lineage: Eukaryota; Viridiplantae; Streptophyta; Magnoliopsida; Rosales; Rhamnaceae. The record is from RefSeq and is a predicted model, not a curated record.
ACUUGACCUUAGAAUUCUCUCUCUCUCAAAGACGGCCACGAACCCUCUUCUCCUCCUAUUCCCAAAUCACAAAGAAGACCGAAAACCCCCAAAAGAAGAAGGAGAAGAAGAAGAAGAAGAAGAAGAAAGAAAUUUGUCACAAAAGCUUGAGAGUAGGAGAGUGGAGGUUUUGGGGUGGUUUCAAAAUUGAAAUGGAUUCAGAUCAAGGAAAGCUAUUCAUUGGUGGGAUUUCAUGGGAAACUACGGAGGAGAAGCUAAAAGACUACUUUGCUAGCUAUGGGGAUGUUUUGCAGACAGUAGUGAUGAGGGACAAAGUCACUGGGAGGCCCAGAGGUUUCGGGUUUGUGGUUUUUUCAGAUCCUUCUGUCCUCGAUAGGGUUCUUGAGGAUAAGCAUACCAUUGAUGGGAGAACGGUUGAGGCUAAGAGGGCCUUAUCAAGAGAGGAGCAGCAAACAUCAGCCAGAUCUGGAAAUGCUUAUCCUGCUAGAAAUGCUGGGAAUGGUGGAAAUAUGAGGACUAAGAAGAUAUUUGUUGGAGGGUUGCCUCCCACUUUAUCUGAAGAAGGAUUUCGUGAGUAUUUUGAGGGUUAUGGCCAUGUAACUGAUGUGGUAGUCAUGUAUGACCAAAAUACUGGACGACCUCGUGGAUUUGGAUUUAUUUCCUUUGAUACUGAAGAUGCAGUCGAUAGGGUUUUGCACAAGACAUUUCAUGAUUUGAACGGUAAGCAAGUGGAAGUAAAGCGUGCUCUUCCUAAAGAUGCCAAUCCUGGAGGAGGUAGCCGUGGGGGUGGAGGUGGUGGUGGUUACCAGGGCUAUGGGGCAUCCGAUGGCAACCAAAAUUCUUAUGAUGGUCGGAUGGAUUCCAGCAGGUACAUGCAAUCCCAGAAUGCUGGGGGUGGGUUUACACCUUAUGGUUCCUCUGGGUAUAAUGCACCUAGUUAUGGUUAUGGUCCUUCAAAUAAUGGCAUUGGUUAUGGGGGUUAUGGGGGUUAUGGUGGCCCUGCUAGUGCUGGAUAUGGAAACCCUAAUGCUCCUAAUGCUGGUUAUGCAAGUGGUCUACCAGGUGCCCAUAGAAGUUCAUGGAACACUCAAACCCCCUCUGGAUAUGGUGCAAUGGGCUAUGGGGGUGCUGGUCCUUGGGGUGUACCAGGUGCCGGUGCUGCUGCAGGCAGUGGUGGCCCUGGUUCUGCACCUGCAGGGCAAUCUCCCAGUGGAGCUGCUGGAUAUGGGGCUCAAAGUUAUGGUUAUGGUGGGUAUGGUGGAAGUGAGGGGUCCUAUGGGAAUUCAGCUGGGUAUGGUGCUGUUGGAGGGCGUUCUGGGAGUGCUGGUAGCGUUGGUGGUCAAAGUGGGGGAGAACUACCAGGGAGUGGUGGUGGCUACAUGGGGGGUGGCUAUGGUGAUGCAAAUGGAAAUACAGGCUAUGGAAAUGCUGCAUGGAGGUCUGAUUCGUCGCAAGGUUCUGGAACUUACGGGGCUCCUCAGGCAAAUGGUCCUCAAGGGGGGCAAAUUGGUUAUGGUGGUUGGUAUGGUGGUGCACAGGCGCGACAAGCCCAACAACAGUAAUUUUGACGGUUGCAAGUGAGCAGAUGUUCAUCUUUGUUUUAUGGAUCUCUCUUGAUAAAUGAGGUCAUAGUGGUUUCUCAUUGCCAGCAGCAGCACUGCCUCAAGUUGGAUGUCAAUACUCCUUGGGACUGGAGGAGAGGUGCACAAGUUCUAAAGUGAAGUGUCCACUCCACUCAUGGCUGAACACAAGCUUCAUAGUGCAUGUUCAUUGGGGGUGUUCAGCAUGGAAUUGAGUUUGAGGACUUUGUUCAGUUGAAAAUUACGCAUUUACAUGAGCCAAUUCAUUCUCAAGCCAGACCAACACUGCCAAACUUUGCAGAUUUCUCACAUUGAAGUCACUGUUUUCGUAAUUUGCAUUCGGUUUUGUGGUUGGCUGAUUGAAUUGUGAGAUGAGCGGCUUAUGGUAUGUUGGUCUCACUUUAAAAUUUGAUGGUACGACUGCCUUAUGAUUCUUAGGAUUAGAUCAUGGAAUGUGAUUCCAUAUGUUUAGAGUAACCAGAAAUGAGUUUCCCUGACAAAAAACAAACAGUGUCAUAAAAAUUUCGGAAUGAAUUAGUAGAUCUUCCUCAAAUGCUUUGUUGGUAAUUGCUUUUUGAGAAAAUAUAAGCUUAUCCAUAUUUAUGUUU